UUACUAUAUCUGUCUUUUAGGUGAUGGAGGAUAUGGCUGUUUCUCUUGGCUUCUAACUCCAUUGUCCCGACCUGAUACCCCUGCUGAACACAAUUACAAUCAUGCACAUAAGUCCACGCGGAAUAUGAUAGAAAGAUGUUUUGGUGUGCUGAAAUCUAGGUUUCUGUGUCUGGAUAAGUCUGGUGGCCUUUUGUUGUAUACUCCCUCCAAGGUGACUCAAAUUGUGUUCUGCUGCUGCUUUCUUCAUAACAUGUGUUUGCAACAACAUGUGCCACAUGUUGCGGAGGAGGAGGAGGAGGAAGAAAGCAGCCAGCAAGCAGAGGAAUUAGAGACAUCUGGUGAUACUUGGAGUACUGAUGUAGGGAGGUAGGUUAGGCAAGAGAUCAUCAAUCGCUAUUUCUAAGGAAAAGAGAAUGAUUGGAAUUUAGAAAGAGUAAUGAUUAGAAAAAAAUCAAGUGGUCUGUUUACUUCCUGCUAACAUGUAUGUGUGGCUCCUUCAACAUUUCCCUCCUCCAAUACCCAAAAAAAAUGCACUGUCAUGUUGUCGUGCUCUGGUGGAUCGUCUUGGUGGUGAUGAGACUGGCGUGAUAUUUGGAAUAGUCGUACCAGUACUGCUGCUUGUUUGCUGUUGGUGCAUGCAUCUGAGUGUUUCAUUCAGCAUCUUACACACAAUGUCAUACUGUAUGGAUCAAGUGGACAUACAUAUCUUUACUGGAUGUGGACAAGGCCAUUUAGCUUGGAUUCCAUUUCAGCUUUUACUUACUGCGUUUGAUACUCACAAUCAAGAUGAGGGGAGUGUGGAUGACGUCUUGGAGGUGUGUCCAAAAUUUGGAGUGAGGGUACAGAACAUACGGACGAUAAUCUUCGUGGCCGGGUAGCCUGCUGUGUUUGUGCCGGGACAUACGACCUUGUUUUCUUUUCGGCCACAGGUUUUUUGUGGUGAUGUCUUACAGAAGUGCCACUUCUGCUGCUCCAUACUUCUUUUGAUGGACCUUUUAAUGAAAGUGCAAUUUUGUUAUGGCCAUUCCUUUACAAGCAUACCCUAUACUACAAUGGACACUUUACCUGCUUCCACAGCGUCAUCAUCAUCAGAUGUGAUGGGAGUUACUGGCUGACGAGUAGUACUGCUUUUUUCAAACACUGUAUAAAAUAACAUUUAACAAAAAUUCAUGCUAUUGUGUAUACAUCCACCCAUUAUGCUUAUACACAUUUAUUCUUUUUGAAAUGCUUGGUUUUUAUUUAAAACAAACAUAAGGACCAGAAAUAAAAAAUAAAAUAAAAAUAAAAAAACAUUGCCAAAAACACAUAUGCACUAUGGCAACAUCAACACAGGAAAACAUGUACAGGACACUGACAUAGGCCACAAGUUCAAGAAAAAAACCCAAAAAAAAACACAAAACUUCAUUUUGUAUUGAAAGGAAAAAUAUUACAGAUGCAAUAUAUAAAUUGCUCUGUGAUGUUGCACUCCAAAGACACAUUACCACUAUAUGAGCAAAAACAAAAUGCAGCAAUUUAAAAAAAAAAUUACACUGCAGUGUGGUGUCACGGUACAAAUACAAGCAAAAGAAAAAAAAUAGUUUUUAAAAAUAAAUAAUUAACAUUAUCUAAAGAUGACAUUACACAUGUAAGUGGUUUCCAAACCACUUUCCAGUACUCCAGCCUCUAACAUGACAACCACUAUUUUUAAAACAUUGCACAUCGAUCACUUAAAUAUAAAACAUAGUCACAAUGUUUUUUUUUAAAAACGCACAAAAGGAAAACAUUAUUGCAGGACAAUUCAGAGACACACCAAGUACAAACUACACAUGCAAAAUAUCUGUCUGAAAAACACAUGAUAUACAAUAAAGUAAGAUGUUAUAUUGGCUUUUGUAUAAAACAUUAACCAAAACAAUGUAUUUGCUGACACACACUUGAAGAUGGGAGUAAUAUGCCACGUCACAUGACACACAUUUCAAAAAACAAACAAAAAAAACCUAGAAUGUAAUUGCAAAUACACAUGCUCACCAUUCUUCCUGGGCCUAUCUGAAUCCCGGACAUGGGUUGCAGAGACAACUUCUGGAGGGAUUACACUCCGCAUGGGCUCCUCAUACUCCAGAUAACUUGCAAUAUAGGGCUGGCCACCACCGGUUUUCCGAGCAGACUUGGCCUCCUUGGCCAUUUUGGACUUGACACGUCGCUUUAUGUCAUAGUACCGUUUGCGGCACGUGUCCUCCGUCCGCUUGACCACCCCCUCACUAUUGACAGCAGCAACAACUUUCGCCCACAACACCGUCUUCCUCCGUGUUGGCACCUUGGUGGACUCAGGGCCAAAUAGCUGCCUCUGAUACUUCAUCAGCUCACGCACCAAUGCCACAUAUUCAGCAAAACUAAACUUUACAUUCCGCCCAGUCUUAGUAGUGGUGCGUGGCUGCGGAGCACUCUGACUGUCACUAUCACUUGAGGCUGCUGCAGCAACCUCACCCACCUCCUCCACCUCACUAACCUCACUAACACUCACCUCCUCCACCUGACCAACCUCCUCCCCCUCACUCACACACUCCACCUCACCCACCUCUGAGUCACACAUAAUUGUGUGUCUAAACAGUUAACACAGAAAAAACAAUAGACAAAUAACACACUCCUCCACUACCACUACACAACACACACACACACACACACACACACACACACACACACACACACACACACACACACACUGACAAGGGACUAUAAAGAAAAAUAACUUGGACUAAAAAUGAGACAGAACCACAAAAUACAAGACAACAAGAAUGACAAGACGACUUCCAAACACAAUACCACACUCAGAAAUCGCUACCAACACUCCUCAGCAAACCACAAAUUCACCUACCUCCACAGCACAACCUCCCUCCUCCUCACCACUAACUUAACCCACGAGGUGCGGACGGUUUGGGGCGUAUUUAUAUGGUUGCGCACAGACACUCCUACCAUCUGAAACACAACCAAUCACGGACGGGGAUGAAAAUCGAAACUGAAAGUGAAAAUGCGGCCGCUGGAAAAAAAAAACCCUGCCGCGUUUAACUUAGGAAAAAAACCAACAAAUACUACAAAAACACGUACGCAAACGACAAUGACGGCCGUAAAUGUGCCAAAAAAAAACGACUGGCAUCGACAUCGGAAAACACGACAACCAUAAAGUCGACGGCUUCGUAACUUUGCGUAUAUGGAUUCAAAAAGUUGCAUGAAAAUGCACCCGAUACAAAACGAGUUUAAACACUACACAAACUGACUCAAACACGAAUAUUAGUAAAUAUUGCCCUAUGUGUUAAAGUGUUACAUAGGGGAGAGGUAUUAAUUAAAAUACUAAAAAGUGUUAUAGUAGUAAAACAUUAACUCUUGCUAAUGCCUUAUCCUCUCACUAAAGUGCUGCCCUGGGGGUGGCUGGCCUUGCCGGCUUGGUGGGAUUCCGCUCCUCGAACUCAAAUUUAGUAUUGGUGACCCACCAGAGACAAGGUCACAUGGACGCUAGUUGGUAGGCUUGUAUUUUUUGGCCAAGGUCCUCUAUUUUGUUCUGUGUUAGAUUGCUGAGUAUAAUACAAUUAUUCAGAUUAGCAGUGCUUAGUACUGUAAAGUGUGCAUCUGCAUUAUAUUGUUUCUACGUAAUAAUGCAAGGUAGUUGGUAUAUACUUGUAUAGUACUGGAAGAAAAACAGAGAGACUGUU
Long non-coding RNA from Pseudophryne corroboree (corroboree frog), 3680 nucleotides. RefSeq lists it as uncharacterized. The transcript is spliced from 5 exons. NCBI's taxonomy places the organism in Eukaryota, Metazoa, Chordata, Amphibia, Anura, Myobatrachidae. The record is from RefSeq and is a predicted model, not a curated record.